Molecule: long non-coding RNA, 1780 nt
Organism: Lotus japonicus
Lineage: Eukaryota; Viridiplantae; Streptophyta; Magnoliopsida; Fabales; Fabaceae
Exons: 2
Source: RefSeq, a predicted model, not a curated record
CACGCUCUCACGAUUCUGCUCUCACGAUCUCACCACGCCCUCACCCUCACCCUCUCACUAGGUCAUCAAGAUUCAAGCACACACGCGCGCACCACCACCGGCCACCACCACGCCACGCCACCACCGUCCACCAGUCUAGCCGCCCCUCUGCGGCUCUAACCCUAGGUGUCUAUUGAUUGAUUGGGGAAAAACUCAAACCAGAAAUAUUUUCAAGAAUGGGGGAAAACUCAAACCAGAGCUGUGGAUUUUGCUGUCAGCACCUCCCAUGGCUAUGAGUCUCUAUUGGUAGAAUUAUGGUACUCCUAAGGCUUGCAAAAUGGUCCUUAUACCAUGUGCUUGUUAACUCAUGUUAUAGUGCAGCUAGGAAAAUAAAGAAUUGUUUAUGUGUGUCCCUAGCACUUUGAAAUGGGGUAGAGUUUUCUUCUUUGCUGUGCCUAGAGUGAUGGUAGAAGGAUGUCUCAAGGUCUCGCUGUCAGCACUUUCUCUUGGUACUGGUUUGCUGAUGUUUAUUACAUUGAGGGCCUAGCUUCUCUUUUUCUGGUUAUGUUGUAUUGUGCUACUGGUUUUCAAGGGGUUUUGGGCUGUAUUGGACGCUGGCUAUUGUUUCUGGGUUUUAAUUGUUUUAUUGGGUUGGUUGUUUGUAUUCUAUUGGCACCCAUAAGAAUAUCAUCAUCAAAAGACAUCAUCGGAAGACUGGAGAGAGAUGCUAAUCUUUAUGCCUUGCUAGAGGAAAUCAACAAAGAUCAUGCUGGUAACUGGUAAGUGGUAAGCAACUCAUUGAAGAGUUUUAGAGAAAAGAUUCAAAUGGAAGAUCCAAUUCUCAAGAAUGCUUUGAAGCCUAAGUUCAGCUAAUCGUCUGUACCAAGCUUAAGAAGCUGUUGAACAAAAUCCCCCAACCAGAAAUUUCAAUCACAUUGUUAUAUCCUUAAGUUCGGAACGCACAUGAAUCAGAGAAACUUGCUUAUAAUGAUAAGAAUAUCUAAUAAGAGCACUUUUGGAAGUAGGCUUGUUCCAAUAGGAUCCAAGCUUUCUAUGAUUAGAAGAAUCUGCUGAAGAAGUUCUGCAUUGCCUACGCCAUUAUGAAGAUCUGAACAGUCAUUUAGAAGAAGAAGGAGUUGUAGCUGAGAUAAAGAGGCGUUGUUGAUUGAAGCAACCAAUGAAGAGUUUUUUUUCCCAAACAUUUAGAGACCAACAAUUGUCACAACUAUCCAGGAAACUAAGAGCCUUACUAUCUUGAAACUUUAUGAGCUCCUUAGAUCUCUAAAGUUGCAUGAAAUGGAGCUGAAUAAGAAAGAUCAAGAAACAGGAAAAAGGAAAAACUUUUGCUCUCAAAGGAAAGGAGCAACCUCAAAGGAAGAAGAAAUAGAAACACAAAAAAUCCGCACUGCUCUGAAAAAAUGUGCAUGUAGUCUUUUUUUAAUUAUAUUUUUAUCGAUUUGCUCAUUUAAAAAUUUGAACCCCUGACCUAGGGUCCUGGAUCCGCCACUGCUUCCACUUCUUCAUUGUUCAGGCAAACGAGGUGACAUUUGGAGUUCUCUAGGAUGCAUUCAUUCAUUCUACUGUAGUGUAGACGUGUAGUAGUAUUUGUGGUGGGACGUUGUAUUUACCAAUAAAGAUCAUAAAUAGCCCUCAGGUGCACCAAAUUAGUCAUUUUUGUAGGCAAAGUAGAGAAGUGUGUUGAAGAACACAUCACUUCAAAGUUUGAUGGCUAUGGACGUGUUUGAAUACACAUAGGCACACUCUUUUUUUCAAUUUUCAAGACAAAAUAAAUUAAAAAGCA